RNAcentral lists this long non-coding RNA (1065 nucleotides) under Oryctolagus cuniculus (rabbit). RNAcentral describes it as "lncRNA (ENSOCUG00000038620.1)". The record is from RNAcentral. Lineage: Eukaryota; Metazoa; Chordata; Mammalia; Lagomorpha; Leporidae.
AUGGGCAGGAAGGGCCACAUGUGGAGGCUGCGUGGCCCAGGGGUCAGCACCUACCUGGGGGCCGGGAGCAAGCCUGCACGUGCCUGCCCAGCCCCGUGCUCGGUGAGCAUGGAGCUGCAGCACCAGGACACCCCGCCCUUCACAGGUGGGGAAACUGAGGCAGCCACUGGGAACGGCCCACACAAGGCCCUGUUCUGCCCAGCGUCCCCAGGGCCACCUCGCAGGAGUGUUGAGAGCCUGGGCGGGCGGGCGGGCUGUGUCCCAGCACACAGCACACACCGGGCGCCAGGGAGGAGCCCUGAACACCUGCGGAGGGGACGGAGGGGACGGAGAGGGAGCCAGGGAGCAGGGAGGAAGGCACUGUCCUGCCUCAAGGGCUCCCCGGGAGGGCGGGGCAGGCGACCCGCUGUCACUCAGCGUGAGCUGUCACCCAUCCACAAUGAUUCCCUCUGCCACAUGCGUGGGCGUGGCAGGGGGUGGAGCUCAGUUAGCAGGCGCCGGAGUGUGGAUUGCGAGAGCCAGUGGGAGAGGGGCCAGCGGAGGGGGGCGUGGGGCCCCACGGACGGCGCCGGCAGAAUCCUGCAAGGACAGGGCUGCCUGGGACUGUCCGGAGAAGCUUCCGGAAGAUGUCAAGGGCAGAGGACCCUCCAGGGGAGGGAGAACCCAUGCCGCAGACAGUCCUCAGGACCCAGAGACAGCAGCACGCCGGGCCAGGGGGUGGGGUCCAGGGCAGGGCUCAGGACGUGGGCCUGGGGGCGGGGCAGAUGCAGCGCAAGCCUGGCCCUACCGUCUCUGCUGCGGAGUCUGGGGUUCACCGGGGGACCACGGGCUGCCCCACGCCGGCGGCGGGCCGGGGCUGAACCAGCAGGGCGGCCCCCGAUUCGCCGCUGGGCUCGCAGCCGGCUCUGCGUCUUGCUGGGAUUCCUGGGCGCGGCAGGCAAAACGCCCUUCGCUUUGAAAACAGACGGUGCUGCCUGCAAAGACGCACAGAUGCAAACGGGACCCGGAUGCAGCCCGGGGCUGACCGCGACACCGGGGGACCGUCUGGCCCCUGAGGCUCAGUGA